GCUUGAUAAAGGCAAACCUGGUGAAAAUCAGGGACGCAAAGUUACCGGCCUAAGGGGAAACCUAGGGUAGCGGAACCACCGGG
RNAcentral lists this non-coding RNA (83 nucleotides) under Thalassomonas actiniarum. RNAcentral describes it as "c-di-GMP sequence". It matches the Rfam family "c-di-GMP-I riboswitch aptamer". From Rfam's summary of the family: GEMM was predicted in a large-scale screen for bacterial structured RNA regulatory elements. Genes associated with GEMM are involved in a diverse array of functions, including chemotaxis regulation, signal transduction, secretion and chitin. The record is from Rfam by way of RNAcentral. Lineage: Bacteria; Pseudomonadati; Pseudomonadota; Gammaproteobacteria; Alteromonadales; Colwelliaceae.